Molecule: long non-coding RNA, 806 nt
Filed under: Marmota monax (woodchuck)
Lineage: Eukaryota; Metazoa; Chordata; Mammalia; Rodentia; Sciuridae
Source: RNAcentral
GUGUGCCACUGCAUCUGGCUAGCCCUUGUUUUUGAACACUCACAUCAUGUAAUAUUAACCAUGGAGUAAAUUACAAAUUAAAUUCCAGAUCUCAUUUAGAUCUAGGUCUUUUUCCAGAUCUAAGGACUGUUUUUCAAAUACUCUUCUGAGAUGUUAAAUGAAGAGGUGACAGAAUUAGUGUGGCAAGAUACAGCAAUUACUUCCCCUUCUGAAACAAGUCUUCCCAUUCUGACAAUGUUAAUUCAAAUAAAUUACUAUGAGCUGGACCAUGCAUUUGACACACAAAGUACAGAAUUUUUAAACAAUAAAGAUAAUCUAGACCAGGAAUACCUAACUAGAUCCACAAGCCAAAUCUGUUUUAUAGCCUGAUUUUGUAAAUACAGUUUUACCAGAAACUAGCCACACCCAUUUAUAUUGUAUGGAUAACCUGAAUAGCAGAGUUUGGUGGUUAAAACAUAAAUAAUACAAUUUUAAAACACAAAAAUAUUUACUACUUGGCCCUUCACAUAUUUUAAAAAAAAAUUGUUGAUCCCAGGUAUAAACCAGAAAUCUUAUUUGCAAUGCCCCAAAUUAAGUUUUGGGGGGCAACAUAUUUGGUAGAAAACUUGAACUAACCUGAAAUCUUUUGGUAGCAAUGGCAUAAAUUCACCCAAAUUAACAAGAGGGUGUUUGUAGUUUUUACUUACCCCUCUGGGAAUAUUUAUAUGAUUUGCUACAGAAAUAGUGAUGUGCCUUGCUACAAAGGGCUCGCCUAGACCCCACUGAUGUUGUUAUAAAUACAUACCCCAUUCAGUAUUCAUUUCCCU